Molecule: ribosomal RNA, 253 nt
Filed under: uncultured bacterium
Lineage: Bacteria
Description: partial 16S ribosomal RNA
Rfam family: Bacterial small subunit ribosomal RNA
Source: RNAcentral
UACGUAGGGAGCAAGCGUUGUCCGGAAUCAUUGGGCGUAAAGCGCGCGUAGGUGGCCAUGUAAGUCCGCUGUGAAAGUCAAAGGCUCAACCUUUGAAAGCCGGUGGAUACUGCAUGGCUAGAGUACGGAAGAGGCGAGUGGAAUUCCUGGUGUAGCGGUGGAAUGCGCAGAUAUCAGGAGGAACACCAAUUGCGAAGGCAGCUCGCUGGGACGUUACUGACGCUGAGACGCGAAAGCGUGGGGAGCAAACAGG